Molecule: unclassified non-coding RNA, 236 nt
Filed under: Glomeraceae sp.
Lineage: Eukaryota; Fungi; Glomeromycota; Glomeromycetes; Glomerales; Glomeraceae
Description: partial contains 5.8S ribosomal RNA and internal transcribed spacer 2
Rfam family: 5.8S ribosomal RNA (bases 1-71)
Source: RNAcentral
GUGAAUCAUCAAAUCUUUGAACGCAAAUUGCACUCUCUGGUAUUCCGGAGAGUAUGCCUGUUUGAGGGUCAGUUUAAAUAAAAAUCGGUGUGGUUGCUGCCUUUCUUGGUGACGCACCGGGUUUGGGUCGUCUUUCCUUCGGUUAAGUGACGUAGAAUUUUUCAUGAUGUUUUUCGAACGUAUUUAAAUGAUUUUACGUACGUUUGCGAUAUCAAAUACUGGGUGUGGUCUUCCUC